UACGAAGGGGGCUAGCGUUGCUCGGAAUCACUGGGCGUACAGCGCACGUAGGCGGCUUGUUAAGUCAGGGGUGAAAUCCUGGAGCUCAACUCCAGAACUGCCUUUGAUACUGGCGAGCUUGAGUUCGGGAGAGGUGAGUGGAACUGCGAGUGUAGAGGUGAAAUUCGUAGAUAUUCGCAAGAACACCAGUGGCGAAGGCGGCUCACUGGCCCGAUACUGACGCUGAGGCACGAAAGCGUGGGGAGCAAACAGG
Molecule: ribosomal RNA, 253 nt
Filed under: uncultured bacterium
Lineage: Bacteria
Description: partial 16S ribosomal RNA
Rfam family: Bacterial small subunit ribosomal RNA
Source: RNAcentral